CCUAUGGUUGAGGUGACUUUGUUACCUGUUGCUCCUUCUGGAGUUACAGAACAUGAUGAAUGGAAGGUAUGAGCUGGUGAUUAACUAGCUCCCACCCUUGAGGAAUUAACACUCCCUCAGGGCCAUUCUGAU
Molecule: small nucleolar RNA, 132 nt
Organism: Carcharodon carcharias (great white shark)
Lineage: Eukaryota; Metazoa; Chordata; Chondrichthyes; Lamniformes; Lamnidae
Product: U8 small nucleolar RNA
Exons: 1
Source: RefSeq, a predicted model, not a curated record